ACCUACGGUCGCACCAGACUGAACAUGCCCGAUCCCAUCCAAUCUCGGAAGCUAAGCAGUCCUGGGCCCAGGUAGUACCUGGAUGGGAGACCACCUGGAAAUCCCGGGUGCCGUAGGCU
This 119-nucleotide ribosomal RNA is filed under the name Sphenodon punctatus (tuatara). Lineage: Eukaryota; Metazoa; Chordata; Lepidosauria; Sphenodontia; Sphenodontidae. The record is from RNAcentral.